UCAUUUAAGAUACAGCCUUGUCUGUAUAACCUGUCAGAGGAGGGCGACAAGUGGCGGGCGUUGGCCAUUGAAGAUGGAACUGUGGACGGAAACCAUCAGGAUUCGGGUGAUGAUGAUGAUGAUUCCCGGAAUGUCUGUCCUCUCCCUGAAAACGACACACUAAAUGUCUCGUUGGAGCAGCUGAACCUCUCACAGGAUGCCCACAGUGUCCAUCCUACUGGUAAGUUACUUGCCAAAUUCUACAUGA
Molecule: long non-coding RNA, 247 nt
Organism: Mytilus trossulus (common blue mussel)
Lineage: Eukaryota; Metazoa; Mollusca; Bivalvia; Mytilida; Mytilidae
Exons: 3
Source: RefSeq, a predicted model, not a curated record